RNAcentral lists this transfer RNA (72 nucleotides) under Alosa alosa (allis shad). RNAcentral's name for it is "tRNA-OTHER". Lineage: Eukaryota; Metazoa; Chordata; Actinopteri; Clupeiformes; Clupeidae. The record is from RNAcentral.
GCCGUGGCGUUCUGGUUAGCGCAUCGGACUUGUAACCGGAGGGUUGCCGGUUCGAACCCCGACCAGUAGGCA